UCAAGCGAAUAAGCGCACACGGUGGAUGCCUAGGCGGUCAGAGGCGAUGAAGGACGUGGUAGCCUGCGAAAAGUGUCGGGGAGCUGGCAACAAGCUUUGAUCCGGCAAUAUCCGAAUGGGGAAACCCACUGCUUCGGCAGUAUCCUGCAGUGAAUUCAUAGCUGCUGGAAGCGAACCCGGUGAACUGAAAUAUCUAAGUAACCGGAGGAAAAGAAAUCAACCGAGAUUCCCUAAGUAGUGACGAGCGAACGGGGAGCAGCCCUUAAGCUGGAAUGGCUUUAGAAAAACAAUCUGGAAAGAUUGGCCAUAGAAGGUGAUAGCCCUGUAUUUAAAAGGGCCACUCCAGUGAAGACGAGUAGGGCGGGGCACGUGAAACCCUGUCUGAAUAUGGGGGGACCAUCCUCCAAGGCUAAAUACUCCUGACCGACCGAUAGUGAACCAGUACCGUGAGGGAAAGGCGAAAAGAACCCCGGAGAGGGGAGUGAAAUAGAUCCUGAAACCGUGUGCGUACAAGCAGUAGGAGCUCGCAAGAGUGACUGCGUACCUUUUGUAUAAUGGGUCAGCGACUUACUGUUCGUGGCAAGCUUAACCGUAUAGGGGAGGCGAAGGGAAACCGAGUCUGAUAAGGGCGCAUAGUCGCGGGCAGUAGACCCGAAACCGGGUGAUCUAGUCAUGGCCAGGGUGAAGGUGCCGUAACAGGUACUGGAGGCCCGAACCCACGUCUGUUGCAAAAGACGGGGAUGAGCUGUGAUUAGGAGUGAAAAGCUAAUCGAACCCGGAGAUAGCUGGUUCUCCUCGAAAGCUAUUUAGGUAGCGCCUCAUAUGUAUCCUCUCGGGGGUAGAGCACUGUUAUGGCUAGGGGGUCAUCGCGACUUACCAAACCAUUGCAAACUCCGAAUACCGAGACGGACUGUAUGGGAGACACACGGCGGGUGCUAACGUCCGUCGUGAAAAGGGAAACAACCCAGACCCACAGCUAAGGUCCCAAAUUCACUGCUAAGUGGAAAACGAUGUGGAAAGGCAUAGACAGCCAGGAGGUUGGCUUAGAAGCAGCCACCCUUUAAAGAAAGCGUAAUAGCUCACUGGUCGAGUCGGUCUGCGCGGAAGAUUUAACGGGGCUAAGCAGUGAACCGAAGCUUGGGGUGCAUAAAACUUGUUUUAUGCGCGGUAGAGGAGCGUUCCGUAAGCCUGCGAAGGUGGAUUGAGAAGUCUGCUGGAGGUAUCGGAAGUGCGAAUGCUGACAUGAGUAACGAUAAUGCGGGUGAAAAGCCCGCACGCCGAAAGCCCAAGGUUUCCUUGCGCAACGUUAAUCGACGCAGGGUUAGUCGGUCCCUAAGGCGAGGGCGAAAGCCGUAGUCGAUGGGAAGCAGGUUAAUAUUCCUGCACCUCGCGUGAGUGCGAUGGAGGGACGGAGAAGGUUAGGUGUACCGGGCGUUGGUUGUCCCGGGGAAAGGCGGUAGGUUUGGAUCUUUGGCAAAUCCGGGAUCCUUUAAGACCGAGCACCGAGACGAGCCUUUAUGGCGAAGUCACUGAUACCACGCUUCCAGGAAAAGCUCCUAAGCUUCAGCUCACGAAGACCGUACCGUAAACCGACACAGGUGGGUAGGAUGAGAAUUCUCAGGCGCUUGAGAGAACUCGGGUGAAGGAACUAGGCAACAUGGCACCGUAACUUCGGGAGAAGGUGCACCCUUUUUGGUGGCUCGUGCGAGCUAUAGCUGAAGAGGGUCGCAGAAACCAGGCCGCUGCGACUGUUUAUCAAAAACACAGCACUCUGCAAACACGAAAGUGGACGUAUAGGGUGUGACGCCUGCCCGGUGCUGGAAGGUUAAUUGAUGGGGUCAGCCGCAAGGCGAAGCUCUUGAUCGAAGCCCCAGUAAACGGCGGCCGUAACUAUAACGGUCCUAAGGUAGCGAAAUUCCUUGUCGGGUAAGUUCCGACCUGCACGAAUGGCGUAACGACAGCGGCGCUGUCUCCACCCGAGACUCAGUGAAAUUGAAAUCGCUGUGAAGAUGCAGCGUUCCCGUGGCAAGACGGAAAGACCCCGUGAACCUUUACUAUAGCUUUACACUGAACGUUGAGUUCGUCUGUGUAGGAUAGGUGGGAGGCUAUGAAACUGUGGCGCUAGCUGCAGUGGAGCCAUCCUUGAAAUACCACCCUGUCGUGCUUGACGUUCUAACCUNAGGUCCGUUAUCCGGAUCAGGGACCGUGUAUGGUGGGUAGUUUGACUGGGGCGGUCUCCUCCUAAAGAGUAACGGAGGAGCACGAAGGUACGCUCAGCGCGGUCGGACAUCGCGCACUGUGUGCAAAGGCAUAAGCGUGCUUGACUGCAAGAUCGACGGAUCAAGCAGGUACGAAAGUAGGUCUUAGUGAUCCGGUGGUUCUGUAUGGAAGGGCCAUCGCUCAACGGAUAAAAGGUACUCCGGGGAUAACAGGCUGAUACCGCCCAAGAGUUCAUAUCGACGGCGGUGUUUGGCACCUCGAUGUCGGCUCAUCACAUCCUGGGGCUGUAGUCGGUCCCAAGGGUAUGGCUGUUCGCCAUUUAAAGUGGUACGCGAGCUGGGUUCAGAACGUCGUGAGACAGUUCGGUCCCUAUCUGCCAUGGGCGUUGGAAGUUUGAGAGGGGCUGCUCCUAGUACGAGAGGACCGGAGUGGACGAACCUCUGGUGUUCCGGUUGUCACGCCAGUGGCAUUGCCGGGUAGCUAUGUUCGGAAGCGAUAACCGCUGAAAGCAUCUAAGCGGGAAGCGCGCCUCAAGAUGAGACUUCCCGGGGCACAAGCCCCCUAAAGGAACCAUGUAGACUACGUGGUUGAUAGGUCAGGUGUGUAAGUACAGCAAUGUAUUGAGCUAACUGAUACUAAUGAUCCGUGCGGCUUGACCAU
This is a ribosomal RNA of 2880 nucleotides. It matches the Rfam family "Bacterial large subunit ribosomal RNA".